GGCGAGCGGGAGCCCCGGGGGAGGCGGCCGCGGGGGCGGGGCGGGCCCCGGGAGGAGCCCCCACCCCCCGGCGGCGGGGCCCGGCCCGGCCGCUCCGCGCUCCCACGGGUGGUGCCGCGGGGCACGGUCCCGCCUCGAAACCUUUGAGCGCCCCCCCCCCCCGCCCCUUCUCCCCCGCCGUAAUGCCCGCUGCAAACUUCCGCGUCCCCCCCCCCCCCACCCGCGGAGCCCGGAGGGGUCCCGGGGCCGCGGAACGGAGCGGAGCGGAGGCGGCCGGUCCAGCCCUGCCCUGCCCGCCGCCGCGCCCCUCUCCCACGCAAACCGGAGGCGCCGGGGAAGUGGGAAGUCCCAGAAAAGCAGGUCCCGGGUACAGGCUUUUCCGAGAGACGGUGCUCCCUAGGCAGCCCCACUCAGACGGGUGCAACACAGAGUGGGGAGCAUGAGCGGCGCUGCCCCUCCUGCCCCCAGCCCACCACCCCGCCGGGGAGAAGUCGCUGGGUGUGUGGGUGGGCGCGGGCGGGGGGGGGGGGGGGGUGGACUCAGGCCGGGAGAUCCUGUCUGUCAGGGCGUCCCUUCGCCUCUGUCAAACCCCAGCCAAACUUCCCGCGGAGGAGGAGGAGGUGGAGGAGGAGGAGGAGGAGGAGGAGGAGGAGGCGGCGGCGGCCGCUGCCCGCGUCCCGCUCCGCGCCCGGCCCGCGCUCCGCUGCGCCGCCGACCCCGGUCCCGCUGCUGCUGCUGCCAGAAGAUGGAACCGGGCUGCACAUCAGCAAACUACCACGGGGAGAGGGGGAAAGAGAAAGGAAGAAGGAAAGAAAAGGGGGGGGGGGGGGGAAAUGGGGAAGGGGGUGCACUGGAGCAAACCGCGGAGCCCUAGCGAUGGGAGGCAGCAGCUAUGCCGGAGGGAGCAAAGUGUCAGAGCUUCCCCCCCGCCGCACAAACACUCUAAGCUGUCUCUGGUCUUCCCCCCCCCCCCCCCCUCCUCCGUCCCCCUUUAACUUACGAAAACCUUACAGGCAACUAACACACAGUCGUCAGCAUCCUGCUUACUUAUUCAUACAGUCAGGGUCAGGAUCCGGGCUGCUUCUGAUCUGCUCCCUUGAUAGUCUUAUGGAAACACACGCGCAUUCACUAUAUGCCUCUAUCUCCAUAUAGCUUUCUCUCGAGAUAAGCAGUGCAUGGCAUUUAAACAACAACAACAAAAGAAUCGAGAUCAGAUAAAACAAUGCGCAGAUCGACACCCACAGCCCAGCCAAAAAAAAAAAAAAAAAAAAAAAAAAAAAAAAAGGCAGCUCUAGAGAAUGGGUGAUGAGGAGGACGAUGAGAAGAAUUAACUGCAAAUUAGGAGACGGGAAAAUAAAUCGGUGGCUGUGUAUUUCUCCCUCUGCUGCGGCUGCUUUGCAGUGUUAGCCCCAUGAGCUGACGGGUGGGGGUUAAGGAGCGAGGGGGAGGGGGAAAGAGAAAAGUUUAAGCGUCCAUAGUUUGUUUAAAACAGAAGAAGGCAAUAUAAGAGGUCCAUUGGUUUCCAGAAGUUCAGCCAAGCAGCUGGGAACCCGUUCCAAAAUGAAAGUAAGAACAAACAAACAAAUAGAAAAAAAAAAAAAAUCAAGGCAAAC
Tyto alba (common barn owl) is the source of this 1613-nucleotide long non-coding RNA. RefSeq lists it as uncharacterized. Lineage: Eukaryota; Metazoa; Chordata; Aves; Strigiformes; Tytonidae. The transcript has 2 exons. The record is from RefSeq and is a predicted model, not a curated record.